CCUGCCCCUUGAGGCGUUGCAGUCGGACUGUAAGUGUGGAGUCUGUGUCAUGAGGGGCAUAGAGUGACAUGUCUACACAGAGGACCCAGAACAGUGGCUACUUGGAGUGAUUAUAGCUCUGACAGA
Salmo trutta (river trout) is the source of this 126-nucleotide small nucleolar RNA. The record is from Ensembl. NCBI's taxonomy places the organism in Eukaryota, Metazoa, Chordata, Actinopteri, Salmoniformes, Salmonidae.